CCUACGGGUGGCAGCAGUGAGGAAUAUUGGUCAAUGGCCGCGAGGCUGAACCAGCCAAGUAGCGUGAGGGAGGAAUGCCCUGAGGGUUGUAGACUUCUUUUAUAAGGGAAUAAAAGGAGGCACGUGUGCCGUUUUGUGUGUACUUGGUGAAUAAGCAUCGGCUAACUCCGUGCCAGCAGCCGCGGUAAUACGGAGGAUCCGAGCGUUAUCCGGAUUUAUUGGGUUUAAAGGGAGCGUAGAUGGGUUGUUAAGGCAGUGGUGAAAGUUUGCGGCUCAACCGUAAAAUUGCAGUUGAUACUGGCAGUCUUGAGUACAGUUGAGGCAGGCGGAAUGCGUGGUGUAGCGGUGAAAUGCUUAGAUAUCACGAAGAACCCCGAUUGCGAAGGCAGCUUACUAAACCGCCACUGACAUUGAUGCUCGAAAGUGUGGGUAUCAAACAGGAUUAGAUACCCGAGUAGUC
RNAcentral lists this ribosomal RNA (460 nucleotides) under uncultured bacterium. RNAcentral describes it as "partial 16S ribosomal RNA". It matches the Rfam family "Bacterial small subunit ribosomal RNA", at positions 338 to 795 of the family's 1533-position model. The record is from RNAcentral.